AAAACAAAUUUAAAUUUCAUCUGCAAAUCAUCAUAGUAAGCUCACAUACAAAAAAAAUCAGUCCAAUAUCUGAAAGCAUUUAGAAAAAAAGUCUGUAUAACUGAGAUUUUCAACAAUUUAUCAAAGUCCAUAGCCCGUAAUUUUGGCAAAAAUUAGCCAAGCAGAACAAAACUUAAACUUGAUCUGUAACUCAUCAUGGUUAACUCACAUAACAAAAAUCAGCC
RNAcentral lists this long non-coding RNA (224 nucleotides) under Mytilus galloprovincialis (Mediterranean mussel). Lineage: Eukaryota; Metazoa; Mollusca; Bivalvia; Mytilida; Mytilidae. The record is from RNAcentral.